AGUUAUCAUUAGUGCUCAUCACUGUGGCAGGAACGUUUGGGAUUGUCAACCUAGAGCCGAGGAACAAACCCAGAGGUGGUGUGUGGCUUGCCCAGCUGUGUGGCACACUGUGGCAGAUUGGACUACAGCCUUCCUUGUCUGGGACCUCUCUGCUCUCUUCAACGGUGGAGGGUGUGGGACAUGGAAGAAACUGGGGUUACCUGAGGCAGAAUGGUAACAGGUGAGAUGGAUGGAACUGGCUGCUGAGUGUUGGAGACCCAUGGGUAAGAAAUUAGGGUGGAUGGGGUGUCUGUGUCAAAUGGUGGUUGCAUAGUAACCUCUCUCUGGUGCUUUCUGAGUGCUAACACACAUGCUUCUACACACACUUCUGGGAACAUACCUAUGUGUGCACACGCACACACACACACACACACACACACACACACACACACACACACACACACAUAGCAGCAGCAGCAGCAGCAGCCGCCGCCGCCGCUGCCACUGCCCCAGUUUAUCUCUACACUGCUUUAUUUUAUUGAUGGAGGAACAGGGUGGAGUGAGUGUGGGGACCCUAAGCCCAGGAUUCUAUAGAUGGGACCAGAACCAGAAAUUAGAUCCUUCUGGGCUCCCAUCCUAUGGCUGGGUGGCUCACUCUUCCCCAGGGGGCAGCCCUUCCCUGCUGUUCAGACCUUCUGUGGACUUUCAGGGGACCCUUUAUCCUUCAGGUCUCCAUGGUACCCUUGGAUGACCAGGGAGCUUAUAUGGGCACUAAGAGAACAGGGCUGGAGCUGACCUGGCCCAGAGCUCCUGGAGGACUGAUUGUGUGGCUCUGGAUAAGCCCUCCACCUCUCUGGUCCCAGCUUUCUUUCCAAAUGAGAAGUAGAGUUCCACAGAGUUCCCACUUCUCCAUUUGCUCACAGACUCAGUAUCCACCACAUCUGCUUCCCAGAUGCUGGGAAUUCCUUGGGUGUGGAGGGCACCAGGAUGCAGGAGAGUGAGACAGGGCAUAGAUUGUUGACACAGCAUCCGACCUCUGGGGGGAGGGCAGAAGGACUCAGUGGCUUCCCUGCAGGGCUAUGACUAAGCAUAAGAUGUGGGAUCAGGGGCUGGGUGUUCCAGGCAACUGGAGCAGCCAGUGCAAAGGUCCUGUGGCUGGAAAGCACCAUGUGACUCUGAGGCAUGGGAAAGGAAGGCUGAAGGACUGGAGGGCAGAGCAAUGGUAUGGGACAGCCUUGUGACUGCUCUUCAGGUGCCCAUCCUUAUCCUGGGAAUGGGAACCAGAGAAAGGCUACCAAAGGAAAAUGAGGCUGGGGUCUGUGCUGCUGUGGAUAACCCACUGUCUCCUCAGCAACCACUUCAUAUCUAGUAGCCAACCCUGCUAGCUUCUCAGUGAGCCAAAGGGGCCUGUGGACAACAGUAGAAACACUAAUGGCCGUGCCCAGAGUGUGGAGGUGGGGAGACUGUAGGAGACAUGAAUAUGUGGGAAGUGAGCUGUGAGUAGGACUCUCUAGUCUAGGUACAAUGUCCCCCAGUGCAGUUUGGACUGGCUCCCAUGGUGGCCCUGCUGACACCAGCCUCAAGGAAGCCAGGACAGUUGCUUAGUCUAACUGAGAGUUGACCUGGUUAGAAGCAUCACUUCAUCCUGGUUCUCCUAAAACCUUCCCCCCUGGGCCCUUCAAGGAAAUGUGAGGAAACUCCAUUAUGCAGAUGGUCAGAUAGGGGCUCAUGGAGAUCAGGGCAUUCAAGUCUGCCCAGCAUAGUUAGAUGUGGGCUGAGUGAGGAGUCCCACACUUCUCCAUACUAUAGAUCUAGGAGAGGUUUGGCUCCUUCAGAUGUUCUGCAAGUGGCCUUGGGGAGCAGAGAGGAACAGAGAGGCAGGAGGAGGACCAGAGCUGGGUCUUCUGCACUGGUUGCUCACAAGAGCUGAGCUGGGUGAUACUGAUGGAGCCUCACUGGUUUCUUUGUCUCUACCAGGUCUCAUAUGCCUUCCCUAGAGCUGGCUGGGAAUUCCUUGUGAGAACUGUGUAGAGCUGGUUCACAUGGACACACUGUUCUGCUCCCCCCUUGACCCAGUCUUUCCCUCUUACAGUCUGGGAGUCUGAGGCCAAGCAGGGGCUACUUCCCUUGAGUCACAUCAAAGCUAAGGAUAGGGGUAUAGGGUCUACUCUAUGAGGGAACCCAAGCAUCCCAUAAGGCCACCUUGCUUGAAGCUCAUCUUUACUAACCAUUGCUCUCCAAGAAGAUCUGCACCAGUGAGGUAAGGGCAGGACAGCCUGUUUGAGUGCAGGCUGCUGUCACCAUCAGCAGGCAGCCCAGGAGGCAUGAGUGAGCCAUGUGUAUACAUAUGGUAUAUAAUAGGUACUCAGAAAAAUUCAUCUCAUGUCUCCAUCUCCACUCUGCCAAAGAAACAUCUUGGAUUCAUGUGGCAGCUGGUCUUUGAUUUCAAACCAAAUGAGAUCUAACCCAAAGUUAACACUGGCUUUGUGUUUCAGCAUCAAUUAAGUACCUACUGUAUGCCUAAUGGUACGGGCAUUGUCUUCUGGAAGUAGGGCUUAUAAAUGACUAGGUAACAAAGAAGGAAAGGAGGGAGUCUGGAAUUCCAGAGGAGGUGCUGAGGGUGCCUCUGUCCAGGAGUAGGGAGAGUUUCUCUCUUCCCUCUCCUACGGCACUUUAAGCACACAGAGACUACCUAGAGCUGGGAACUAUCUCUUCCAUGGCUUGAUGGGAGCUCUCAGCUGCCCCACAGAAGAACCCAUAUGUCAUCCCCCAAGAAGCAUCUAGCCCCAACUCGAUUCCCAGAACAGUGCUGGCUGGAGGCCAUACAGGUUCACUCUAGAGAAACAGCAUUGGUGUGUGCAGAGCUCAGCUCAAAUCUGGACUCUGCCAUGCAUUGGCUCUAUGGUGCUGGGCAAGUCACUCUACCUGUCUGAGCCCCAUUUCUUUAUCAGUUGUGCGAAGGAACAUCCGUCUUAGAGUCUAUCCUGGGAAUGAACUGAGACUAGAACUAGAAUAUUGUCCCUGCUAGAUAUGGCAUGCACAGCCUUCUCUGGGACACACAGGUCCCGUGCUGCAUGGCAGGACUUAGAGGCAGUCUUGCCCAGUGGGACCCCGGAGUUGCUUGUACAGUUCCCGAGAGCCAGUAGUACCUGCCUGUGACUUCACGAGAGCUUAGACCCUGUUCAGGUGGGGAGCAAGGCCCACAAAGGUGACACCUAGGUACCAGUGGCGUGUGGCAACUGGGCUUGGCCUCCAUAUUCUCGACUGGUUCCUUCCAUUUACUCCAGCUUUGGGCUUUGAUAGCAGCUGGGGGACCUCCUGCCUUGCUUCUUGAUGGUUGACACUCCAUCCAAGACUUUCAGGUGACACUGGUGAAGGACUGCCCUAAGUUAGCCAGUGAAGGCCUCUCUCUUUCUCUUCUCUCCACAUUCCCCGAUUUGUCCCUGAGCCCAAAGCCUCUGCCUUUUCCUCUUGCUUCUAGAGCACUGAGGGUCCCUUAUUUAAAUUCCCCAGUGUCCCCACAACAUGAGAUACCCAUCGUCUUGGUCUCUCCAUGCCUUGUUCCCUUUCCUAUGGUUCACAAGCCUUCUGGCCCUGGAGUGGGUUCUAAUCCAGAGCCUUCCUCUCUGGCAUUGGCCGUAGCUGCCUCUUGGAGCAAGGUGUAACAGGGAGAUGGUGUUCUCUGUAAGGCAAGGUGGCACCAUGAGUUCUGUGCCUUGGCUGUAGACCACUGUCUUUCCCUGUUUUACCUUCUGUAAAAUGGAGGGGAGGGGCUUGCAAGAUGGUUGAGUGGUAAAGGCAUUUGGUGAUAAACAUAAUGAACUGAGUUCAACUCCUGGGAGCCACAUGGUGGAAGGAAGGAGCCAACUCCUGCAGGUUGUCCUUGCCCCCCUCAAGAAAUGAUAAAUAAUAAAUAAAUAAAUAAAUAAAUAAAUAAAUAAAUAAAUAAAUGAAUAAAUAAAUGUGUUGUAAUAAAGACAUUUAAAAUGGGGGCAAGGAGUCCUAUUUUGUGGAGCUGCACAGAGAUCUUGAGACAUCUGCGGCUGGGUUUGGGGUGGAGAGCACACUGAAGAGCUGCUGGGCUACUCUGAAGGGCAAGGCUGUAGUCUACAGAUAAUUUAAGAUGCGUUUUGGGAAAACACAUACACAUACACGCCACACACCACACACACACACACACACACACACACACACAGACACACACAUACACACACACACCACCACCACCACCACCACCACCACCACCACCACCACCACCACCACCACCACCACGGGAAUGUCAUUUACAGUCAGCUCCCAUGCAGGGCUCUCACUCCUUGCCUGCUCUGCUAAAAAUAGCAAUUUACAAAGGGCACGACUACUCCGCCUACCCAAGGUGGCUACAGGGGUUAAGACUGAAUCUCCUUCCAUGAAGCCAAACCCAUCUUCUUGAUAUGCCCCAGAGCCUUGGCUUUCCUCACCCUGGCUGUGACCAUGGCCAUGGAGGAGUUGAGAGAGGCUAGGGAGAAGCCUGGCCUGCACCCCUGGGGCUUACACUCUGAGUGUCCUUCAGACACUGGUAAUGACAGCAGUGUGGAUGAGGCUGCCACUCCGAGGCACUAUCUGCAGAGCGCUGGUGACAGCUCAGAGGGCAUCAGGUAGAGUGAACACAUGGCGUCCUCAAGAGUGGCAGGGGAAGGAAGAUUGAUGCACACUGAUAGACAUGGGUGCUCCAGAGGAAAGACCAGGUAUCCUCAGUAGUCUAUUUGUGGCUCCAAGGCUCCAAGACUUGCUUUGUGAUGUGGUAGUUGGAUGGGGGCUGAGGGGAUGGUCACUGUCAUGGCCAGGGCCCCAGGUUCUAUCCCCAGCUUUCUUUGGCUGAUUGGCAGCAUAAAAAACCAAGACCAAAUCCACCAAUAAACAAGGCCCGCAGUGGAUGAUAAUGUUAUGUGGUCAUACACACUGGAAGAGGGGGAGGCAUGACCAGCGGCAGGUAUAGAAGGAAGGUGUGUGGAGCUGGGGUAGCAUUCACAGAAGGCACCUAGAGAGGGUGCCAUUCCACAGCAGAAUCUCUAAACAUCUUUACAGCCUACGGGGAAUUAGUCUUGUGACAAUUUAUGUCCCCCCCAAUCCUUGGUUUCCAGGGUACUGGUACUAGAUGAUGACAGACCACUUAGCACAGUGGUUCUCAACCUUCCUAAGGCUGUGACCCUUUAAUAUAGUUUCUCAUGCUGUGGUGACCCCAACCAUAAAAUUAUUUUUGCAGUUACUUCAUAACUAUAAUUUUGCUACUGUUAUGAAUCAUAAUGAAAACAUCUGUGUUUUCCCACGAUUUUAGGCAACUCAUGUGGAAAGGUCAUUAGAUCCACAGAAGGGUCUUGACUCACAGGUUGAGAACCAUUGACUCAGGUGGUAGGGGCUUGUGGGAGGUCCUUCAGGGCUUGCCCUUGGGGGGGAUGUGCCCCUACCCACUUUCUUUGGUUGACUGGCAGUGAAGUAAAGGUUUUAUUUAGCCAUCACGGGUUUUCACUGAGAUGUGCCACCUCACCACAGGCACUCCAUCAUGGGUUGAAACCUCCAAACCCAUGAGCCCCGUUCAUGGCUACCUCAUAAGGCGAUUGCAGGAAACAUUUUGUUAUAGUGACAGAAAUCUGAGUGUGGCUGGCCUUCUGUGUCCUUGGAUCCCCAUACCUCAGAUCCCACCAAACACAAUUGGGAAUAGCUUAAGAAGUGCAUCUGUGCUGGGAAAUGUUUACACGACAGAUGGAUGUCUUAGGUGUUAUAAGUCAUAAUAGAAUCUAUCUGAAGUAUGUGGGGAGGGUGUGUGUAGGUUCCACGAGGUCCCUACCACUAGCCACACUUUCCACUGUGGCUUCAGCAGCCUUGGGGGUCCCAGGGCCCUCCCUUCUCAGAUCUCCGAGAUCUGAGCAUGGAUCUUGCCUAGCAUGGUAUAGUAAGCAGACCGAUGGAACAACAUGCUGUCCAUCCCUUGGGAAACUUGGCUGAGACCCCGGCUGGAGGGUGGGCUUCUUGGAACUGAUUUAGGCUGUGGAGAGAUUUUCAGAGGCUAGAAAGAGCAGUAGGGUCACCUAAAGGCUGUGUGUGUGUGUGUGUGUGUGUGUGUGUAUGUAUGAGUGUGUGUGUGUGUGUGUGUGUAUGUAUGAGUGUGUGUGUGUGUGUGUGUGUGUGUGUGUGUGUGUGUGUGGUGACUCUGGGAGUGAGGGCAGUAUGGGGUCACCCGGCAUAGUCUUCCUCCCUAGCUUCAGGUCUUGGCUAUCUCUGCACUCAGGGAUAGCAGCUCCCUAUAAGGCUUUUCUAACUAAGCACCACCCCAGCGUCCUGACCUCAAUGACUAACACACAUUCUUGGCCUAGUUAGAAAGCCCCUCGCCUCUCAUAUUUAUAGCACCUCCCCAUACCACUUAUGCCUCAGAGGGAGGCCCAGCCCUGUUUAGGAACCUGCCCCUCUCAGACAGGGUCUUGCUGUAUAGCCCAGGAUGACCCUGAAUUCAUGCCCCUCCUGCUGUCUUCCAAGUGCUGGGCUCACAGGUGUGCACCAUCACACCCAGUCAAGGACCUCUUCCCAUCAUGCCUCCCUGCCCUGAUCCACUCUUUCCUGAAGGUGUUGUUAGACCCUCCUCUUUGGGGAUAGGAGUAGGGUAGGGAUGUCACAGGGGUGGCACGGACAAGCGACGCCCUUAUCAAAUUGCAAAGGUUAAGGUUUGGGAUCACCAAGUGUUCAUGGGUCCUGGUUCUAAGGACUUGGCCUGAGCAAGUUCAUCUGGCUCUUGCAAAUGACCCACCAGGCGAUGGAGAAAACUGAAGCACAGAAAGGUUUAAACAGCUUGCCGGAGGCCACGUAGCACCUAACUCUAGAGUCGAUUGAUUCUCCUGGGUCCUGGACUAAACAUAGUGCAUAGACCAUAGAUCCUCAUGCAAGUGGACGUCUCUUAUUCAUUUCCUGGCCUGAGGAUCACUCACCAUCUCUAGUAGAGUGGCAGGGGUGGGAGUAGAUGGGAAUAGGUGGCUACUCAUGAACCCAGCCUGCUGGGCACAUUAGUUCUCAUUUUCAGAUGGGCUUCCUGGAGGAGGAGGCACUUGUCUGUAUAACACAAUGACAUUCUUGUUAUCACUAUCCUCAGAGAGAAGGUUCUGACUCCUCAUGCUUAGACCCCUCAAGGAAGUUCCCAGGCCUGUGGCUGAUACCUGCAGGCAGAGCAGGGUACAAGUCACAGACGGGGCACAUAGGGCAAGCACCUUUACAAAGGGAAUAGAGGCCCAGGAAAGGGCAUUAUGUAUGUAGUCUCUGUAGGUGGGUGACAGUGGAUGGGACCAUGAUGACAGUGGUGGUGGUGGGGGCUUAAUCCCUUGUUCCAUUUCAAACUCUGCUUACUCUCAUACCAACCAGUUCUUUUCUUUUUCUUUAAAACUUCUUUUUAGCUUUAUUUAUUUCAUGGGUACACGUGUUUGCCUGCAUCUAUGCCCCCUAUGCACUGCAAGUGUCUGUGGAGGCCAGAAGAGGGUGUUAGAUCCCCUGAAAAAAAUCUAGUUACAGCGUGGGUGCUGCUGUCAUGAGUGCUGGGAAUGGAACCUGUGUCCUCUGGAAGAGCAGCCAGUUCUCUUAGCUAUGGAGCCGUCCCUCCCAAAACCCACAAUCCCAUAUGCCUUUUCAAGGAUUGGUUUGAGGACUUUGAGUCACCUGUGCCUUGAUCACUUCCAGUUCCAAAGGCUGGCAAGAGAGCCACCACCCUACUACUGCCUGGGGUUUUGUUCUGUGUAGUUCUGUGCCAGGCAUGGUACACGCUUGCUCAUUCAACAACCGUGUGCUUGUCACCUGCUCCACGAUAGCCAUCAGCAGCCUCUUUAAGAGUGGAGUCCUGGCUGGGAGCAUUCUGCGUGAGCAUAAAAGGACUGGUACUAGAUGCGGGGUCUGUGAACGUGGGGGCAAUCCUCCCUAGAAUUCGUCACCCGCUGCCUCUCCUUGCACACAUUCCUUGACUACCCAGAUCGAGCCACAGGCCCAUGUCUGGGGCUCACAUCUACAUUGGUACCCUGACACGGUACAAGAGCAGUUUGAACACUGUCUUGUCUUUCUGUGCCUUUUAACUAAGCCCUGGGAGCUAAAUCCUAACCUCAGCCUCAGAGGAAGCUACAGGCCAGCCACUUUCGGCAUCCCAGAAUGAAGAAGGGAGGUGUCAGGCUGCCGGCUGUGUCCUUAGCCAGGAAAUUGAUGGGCGACCCCGAUUUAAUUAGCUUUUCCUUGUGAUGAUUUGGAGAAGGUUGUAAUUAGCUUGGGGGCCCAGAGGGAGAGGCCUGGGUGGUGGAGCCGGGUAGGAGCAGGUGGCAAAGGAAGGUGUGGGCUGGAUUGAAGAGUGGACCCCAGUUUUUCCAAGUAAGGUAGGUCAAAGAACCUGGCGACUUGUGGGAAGCAAGUCCCCUGCAGGUAGACCUGGUUGGGGUAGCUGUGGGCUCUUGGCUGGCCUUUGUGGGGAGUUUGGGGGGGGUCACAUUGGAUCAAGUUACAUAUGUCUGUAGCCUCCCCAGGACACAUAGCAUGGUGGCCUAGAGUGUGGCAUUUAGGCUACAUUAUGACAGAUAAACCUUUGGAAGCCCCUGUAGAUGGCUGAGGACAUUCCCCAUGACACCAUGCUAAUGAAAAGGGGGACUCUGAUUCUAGUUCGAAGGAGGAAUAUCCCAGGGUAAGCUCUGCACUGCAUGUUGGGUUAGUAGCCAUUAGCCAGACACUGGUUGAGGGUUUGCCCAAGACCCUGGCCAGUCUGAGCCUGCAAGGCAGCGAGUCCAGGUGGGUGGGGCUGUAGUUUGAAGACGGCUUGCUCCUGUUCUUGCUGGUCCAUACAAUGUGGCAGGUGGAAUCUAAUGGAAAGUGCUGGGUCACAGGAGUGGGGUCCCAAAGUAAGCCUCAGUGCCAGGGUGGCUCACCUCCAGGGUGGGCACUUUGUCACCCGAGAGCUAAAGUCACUGGGGUACCAGCUCUAGAAAACCAGCUUUGGUGCCACACCAGCAUUUGCUCCUGCAUCUUGCAGAUCUUCACCGUGUGUCAGAGACCAUUUGUCAUUUUGCCUUUCCCAGAGCCCCACAGGAGACAGUGUUGUUCUGCCCAUUGAUUGAAGAAGAAACUGAGGGGCAGAGAGGAGGGGUCAUGCCCAAGACACCAGCUAGGGCGGGCUAGCUGGAUUUGAACCUGGGAGCUGUGGUAGCAGACCUCCCUGUUCUUGUACACUUUUCUGGGGGCAAAACAUGAGAAUUAGGGGAUGGGCAGAACAGGAAAUGUGGGGGCUAAACUCAGCUCGGUGGCCGUAGGCUGGGUGGCCGCUGUGAGCCAGGCCUUCCAGAUUCAGAGGCCUUGCCUGUCCCCAGCCACAUAUUUUCUGUUGGCUUUCCCGACCAGUUCUUUCUUCCCGAUUUCUCAGUUGAGCUGCUCCCUGGUGUCCCUUACUAGGUUUCUACCUUGUGCCUGCCUGCAUCCAGGUUGCCCAAGCCUGGGACCUGGACCUGUUUUCACACAUGCUUGCAUAUCUGGCCACCAUUUCUCAAUUGCUUAUCCUUCUCAUCAUAACAACCUCAGAGAGGUUAUGCAGUUGGCUCAGGGUCACACAGCUAGGACAUAAAAGACAUGGAAUUUAUCCUGUAUCUCUUAAGUCCCUAGCCCGAGGUCCUCUCUGAUACCUUGCCACCUCAUGACUGUCAUGUCUACAUGUCUUCUGUCUCAUGGUCAUUGUGACAUAAGGCCCUUGCUUGGUGGUAGCCCUUGUUGAAGCCAGCACUGCACUUUACCGGCUCCAGGGAGGAGAUCAAUCUGGAAACAAUCCAAGAAAAAGAUGUGGCCGACUUAAGCUCUGCAGCUCUUGCUUGCAAAACAUAGUGAAGCCCAAACAGAAGUAAGCCUGAGAAGGUCUCAACCCAACACUGCCUGCUGGUCAACUCACAGCUCAACAGCACAAUAUAGCAGCCUCCCACAGAGAGAGCAACAGAGUCACAUCUUGGGUACCAGAGAUCAUCAGAUGUACCGGAUCCUUCCUAGCCCCUCCUUCUCUUCAUCUGCCAGGAUGCUGCUGCUGACUUUCUAGGCUUGCUCUGAGUGCAAGCAUGAUAUAGGAAGGUCUAGAACAGGACUUGACACAAGAGAGGUGUGCCCUAGAUGGAAGAUGAAGCCAAGCUUUCAAAGGGAAGGUUACAAACAUGCAUGAAGGGAGGGUAGAAAAGUUGGUGUGGAGAGUCUCAAAAGGGCUGGUGCAAUGGCAGGGGCUGGUGAUCACACGAGGUGAGAAAAUGGAAGUGCCAGCAGGUUAAAUGGGAACCAAGAGCCAAUAUUAACAGUUCCUCCCUGCCAGGCCGCUUUGGCCAGCGUUGACUGUGGAUAUGGUGGUCUGGUUACGGGGAAGCUUGCGUGACCUAGGAUGGGCAGAGGGCGUGAAGACAUUUCCUACUGGCUCCACUGAUCUGUCACACACAGUGAGGUGCACACAUUUCUCUCCGAACCUCAGUUUCCCCUUUUCUCUCUGCCAUGGCACAAAAUGAGAGAAAGCAAAUUGGCAGAGCCAGGCUGGAGUAGCAACCACAAAUGGCCCGUUUGCAAGAACAGCUUAAAAUACAUUUGUUUGUUUUGCUUGGAGCUUAAAAUAAAAUUGAAUUAAAUGCCAAUGUUGAAAAAUUGGAGGACCGUGCCUAGGAAUUCAGAGUGCUGGCUUCUCCCAGGAUGCUGAGGCUGUCUACCCUGGAAGCUGGCUGGGGGUAAGAGGAGGCCACAGGGAUGGACGGCUAUUCUCUCGGGUCCACUCCAGCCUUCCUUCAGGCAGAGCAUCUACCUGGACACGGGAUGUGGAGAGAUGAUACUGCCUGGGCCUCUCUUCUGAUUGUGGGUGCCCCUUCCCAUUUGCACAACAAACAUUCAUCCCAACAAGGCUUAUUCAAGAGCAGCAGGAGGAACACUAGGCACUGUGUACCCUAUACCGACCCAUAUGGGGUUCCUGACCCUUGUGAAGUGAGCAGCACCUGGGUAUCACAUAGGGAUCAUGGAUGGGGACACUGGGGCACAGACAGGCUAACUCACUUCUUGAGGUCACAUGACCAGCAAGUGGGAGGAGGAUUGGGAUGUGGAUGCCAGCAGCCUGUCACUCUUAAAUAUAUGUCACACCAAAGAACAGUGCUCCCCUUUUCUGGGGCAGGCACUCCCAAGGCUCACCCUCCCCUUCUCAGCUGGAUUACUUCUCUCCCUCACACACCCAUCGACUCUUGCUGUCUCCUUAGCAACAGAGGUGCAGGUACCACCCCACCCCAUCCGAAGGCGGGGAAACUGAGGCACAGAGAGGUUUAAAGGGACUUGUUCUUGCAGCAUGGCCAGAGUAGCGGAGCGGCAGAGCCAGGGCGUGGCCUUGGAUCCCUAGCUUUUGUGGCUGAGCUCUUGGUAGCCUGGAACUCCUGUGUGCUCACAGCUAGUCAGUUGGCAUCCUUCCUCGUCCACCCAUCUGACACUCAAGUGUAUCCCAGACCGGCCACUCGACACCAGACAUAGUGACAUAGAGACACCUCUAGUGGCUCCUGGACGCAACUGCAUGGAACCCAACUGGAGGGGAAGGUGACACACAUCCCCAGAAUAUGCCUGGUGGGUCUGGGGCCAGGCAGAGAAUUGGCUUCCAAGCCACUGCCCUGGGGAGCUCAGGAGGCUGAGGCAGAGGGAAACCGAUGUGCUUGGCCAUUUGUUUCAGGAUGACCAUGAGAAGCAGCUGUGGAUCAGGAGAUCCCUGCCCCAUUCUUCCCUCAGCCAUCACAGCAAGGACCAGCCUUCUGGCUUGAAGUCCUGAGCAAGUGCUCCU
Molecule: non-coding RNA, 11791 nt
Organism: Rattus norvegicus (Norway rat)
Lineage: Eukaryota; Metazoa; Chordata; Mammalia; Rodentia; Muridae
Source: RefSeq, a predicted model, not a curated record